UUUAACGGCCGCGGUAUCUUGACCAUGUGAAGGUAGCGUAAUCAUUUGUCUUUUAAAUGAAGACCGGUAUGAAUGGCGCAACGAGGGCUUAACUGUCUCACUCUCCCUGUCAAUGAAAUUGAUCUCCCCGUGCAGAAGCGGGGAUAACUACAUAAGACGAAAAGACCCUAUGGAGCUUUAGAAUAUGAAGCAGCUCUAAUAAAUUAAUGAAUACCCAAUGAAUCCUGCUUCUCAUUUCUUCGGUUGGGGCGACCAUGGAGAAAAAUAAACCUCCACGAAAAAACCACCAAGGUUUACAAAAUAAGAAUAACAAUUCUAAUUUACAGAACUUCUGUUCUAAAUGAUCCGGGAAAGCUCCCGAUCAACGAAACAAGUUACCCUAGGGAUAACAGCGCAAUCCCCUUUUAGAGCUCACAUCGACAAGGGGGUUUACGACCUCGAUGUUGGAUCAGGACAUCCUAAU
This 463-nucleotide ribosomal RNA is filed under the name Trigonectes rubromarginatus. Its description in RNAcentral is "16S ribosomal RNA". It matches the Rfam family "Bacterial large subunit ribosomal RNA", at positions 1923 to 2551 of the family's 2925-position model. Lineage: Eukaryota; Metazoa; Chordata; Actinopteri; Cyprinodontiformes; Rivulidae. The record is from RNAcentral.